Magnolia sinica is the source of this 107-nucleotide small nucleolar RNA. The record is from RefSeq and is a predicted model, not a curated record. Lineage: Eukaryota; Viridiplantae; Streptophyta; Magnoliopsida; Magnoliales; Magnoliaceae.
UAACCAUGGUGUGGGCAGGUGAGAAGUAAGUCCUUAAACCGGUCCCAACAUUUAAAGAAGGUCUCAUUAUUUUUCUGGGAGACGUUCAUUAUUUCCCGUCUAAGAGC